RNAcentral lists this ribosomal RNA (460 nucleotides) under uncultured bacterium. RNAcentral's name for it is "partial 16S ribosomal RNA". It matches the Rfam family "Bacterial small subunit ribosomal RNA", at positions 338 to 795 of the family's 1533-position model. The record is from RNAcentral.
CCUACGGGUGGCAGCAGUGAGGAAUAUUGGUCAAUGGCCGGAAGUCUGAACCAGCCAAGCCGCGUGAAGGACGAAGGUGCCACGCAUUGUAAACUUCUUUUGUCAAGGGACAAACUCAGGCUCGAGAGCCUGACCGAGGGUACUUUAAGAACAAGCAUCGGCUAACUCCGUGCCAGCAGCCGCGGUAAUACGGAGGAUGCGAGCGUUAUCCGGAUUUAUUGGGUUUAAAGGGUGCGUAGGCGGACUGUUAAGUCAGUUGUGAAAGUUUGCGGCUCAACCGUAAAAUUGCAAUUGAUACUGGCAGCCUUGAGUACAGUUGAGGUAGGCGGAAUUCGUGGUGUAGCGGUGAAAUGCUUAGAUAUCACGAAGAACUCCGAUUGCGAAGGCAGCUUACUAAACUGCCACUGACAUUGAUGCUCGAAAGUGUGGGUAUCAAACAGGAUUAGAUACCCCUGUAGUC